RNAcentral lists this ribosomal RNA (253 nucleotides) under uncultured bacterium. RNAcentral describes it as "partial 16S ribosomal RNA". It matches the Rfam family "Bacterial small subunit ribosomal RNA", at positions 524 to 776 of the family's 1533-position model. The record is from RNAcentral.
UACAGGGGAUGCAAGCGUUAUCCGGAAUUAUUGGGCGUAAAGGGUCCUGAGGUGGCUAUCCAAGUCUAUUGUGAAAUAUCAGGGCUUAACCCUGAACAUGCGGUGGAAACUAGAAAGCUUAAGUACAGUAGGGGCGGAGGGAAUUUCCGGUGGAGCGGUGAAAUGCAUAGAUAUCGGGAAGAACACCAACGGCGAAAGCACUCCGCUGGGCUGAUACUGUCACUGACAGACGAAAGCUAGGGUAGCGAAUGGG